This 321-nucleotide ribosomal RNA is filed under the name uncultured bacterium. RNAcentral's name for it is "bacterial SSU rRNA". It matches the Rfam family "Bacterial small subunit ribosomal RNA", at positions 28 to 345 of the family's 1533-position model. The record is from RNAcentral.
GACGAACGCUGGCGGCGUGCCUAACACAUGCAAGUCGAACGGGGUGAGACCCUUCGGGGGUUUCACUUAGUGGCGAACGGGUGAGUAACGCGUGAGGAACCUACCCUGUACACACGGAUAACAUACCGAAAGGUAUGCUAAUACCGAGGAUAAUAUGCUUUAUCGCAUGGUAGAAGUAUCAAAGCUCCGGCGGUACAGGAUGGACCCGCGUCUGAUUAGCUAGUUGGUGAGGUAACGGCUCACCAAGGCGACGAUCAGUAGCCGACCUGAGAGGGUGAUCGGCCACAUUGGAACUGAGACACGGGUCCAAACUCCUACGGG